Molecule: non-coding RNA, 73 nt
Organism: Zootermopsis nevadensis
Lineage: Eukaryota; Metazoa; Arthropoda; Insecta; Blattodea; Termopsidae
Source: Rfam
GCCACGGUGGUCUAGCGGUUAGAACGCUGGCCUUGUAAUCCUGGGGUCCCGGGUUCGAUUCCCAGCGGUGCCU